Molecule: non-coding RNA, 353 nt
Organism: Phoenix dactylifera (date palm)
Lineage: Eukaryota; Viridiplantae; Streptophyta; Magnoliopsida; Arecales; Arecaceae
Source: RefSeq, a predicted model, not a curated record
CGAUGGUGGGCGGUUACAACCGCCCGCCUUUCCCAGCAAUCAGAGGCUUCAAGAAGCCUCGAUCGGAUCCGGUGUUAGACCCACGCCGUCGGAGCAGAGGGCUGCAUCGUCGGAGUAGGAGACGAACGAUCCCCUUCAAAGCAGGUGAUCAAGGAUUUGUCACCCGGACGUAAGAAAUUGGAAAGCAUAUUGCAAUGAUUAAGACCACUAGGAGCAGGGAGCUUGAUGUUAUUCAGGGUUGGGGUAAUUGAAAAUGUUAUGUAAUAAUCAGAUUUUAGAAGCUCUGUACUGUUCCAACUUCAUGAACAAUGUUAUGAUAUUAGUAAAUGAAACUAUUUAUUUUUAUUAUGAAA